ACUCGGGUGAAGGAACUAGGCAAAAUGGUGCCGUAACUUCGGGAGAAGGCACGCUGAUAUGUAGGUGAAGCGACUUGCUCGUGGAGCUGAAAUCAGUCGAAGAUACCAGCUGGCUGCAACUGUUUAUUAAAAACACAGCACUGUGCAAACACGAAAGUGGACGUAUACGGUGUGACGCCUGCCCGGUGCCGGAAGGUUAAUUGAUGGGGUCAGCGCAAGCGAAGCUCUUGAUCGAAGCCCCGGUAAACGGCGGCCGUAACUAUAACGGUCCUAAGGUAGCGAAAUUCCUUGUCGGGUAAGUUCCGACCUGCACGAAUGGCGUAAUGAUGGCCAGGCUGUCUCCACCCGAGACUCAGUGAAAUUGAACUCGCUGUGAAGAUGCAGUGUACCCGCGGCAAGACGGAAAGACCCCGUGAACCUUUACUAUAGCUUGACACUGAACAUUGAGCCUUGAUGUGUAGGAUAGGUGGGAGGCUUAGAAGUGUGGACGCCAGUCUGCAUGGAGCCGACCUUGAAAUACCACCCUUUAAUGUUUGAUGUUCUAACGUUGACCCGUAAUCCGGGUUGCGGACAGUGUCUGGUGGGUAGUUUGACUGGGGCGGUCUCCUCCUAAAGAGUAACGGAGGAGCACGAAGGUUGGCUAAUCCUGGUCGGACAUCAGGAGGUUAGUGCAAUGGCAUAAGCCAGCUUGACUGCGAGCGUGACGGCGCGAGCAGGUGCGAAAGCAGGUCAUAGUGAUCCGGUGGUUCUGAAUGGAAGGGCCAUCGCUCAACGGAUAAAAGGUACUCCGGGGAUAACAGGCUGAUACCGCCCAAGAGUUCAUAUCGACGGCGGUGUUUGGCACCUCGAUGUCGGCUCAUCACAUCCUGGGGCUGAAGUAGGUCCCAAGGGUAUGGCUGUUCGCCAUUUAAAGUGGUACGCGAGCUGGGUUUAGAACGUCGUGAGACAGUUCGGUCCCUAUCUGCCGUGGGCGCUGGAGAACUGAGGGGGGCUGCUCCUAGUACGAGAGGACCGGAGUGGACGCAUCACUGGUGUUCGGGUUGUCAUGCCAAUGGCACUGCCCGGUAGCUAAAUGCGGAAGAGAUAAGUGCUGAAAGCAUCUAAGCACGAAACUUGCCCCGAGAUGAGUUCUCCCUGACCCUUUAAGGGUCCUGAAGGAACGUUGAAGACGACGACGUUGAUAGGCCGGGUGUGUAAGCGCAGCGAUGCGUUGAGCUAACCGGUACUAAUGAACCGUGAGGCUUAACCUU
Molecule: ribosomal RNA, 1250 nt
Filed under: Escherichia coli
Lineage: Bacteria; Pseudomonadati; Pseudomonadota; Gammaproteobacteria; Enterobacterales; Enterobacteriaceae
Description: partial 23S ribosomal RNA
Rfam family: Bacterial large subunit ribosomal RNA
Source: RNAcentral